This is a long non-coding RNA of Hibiscus syriacus, 253 nucleotides long. RefSeq lists it as uncharacterized. NCBI's taxonomy places the organism in Eukaryota, Viridiplantae, Streptophyta, Magnoliopsida, Malvales, Malvaceae. The record is from RefSeq and is a predicted model, not a curated record. The transcript has 2 exons.
UGACAGUUUGGAGAAGUCCUAGCCUCAACCGAACAUGAUGAGGACAUAAUUAUAGCAGAGAUUGAUUAUUCAAUACUUGAGCAACGAAGGAUGAAUCUCCCUUUGGCAAAGCAACGGCGUGGUGAUCUCUACCAGUUGGUAGAUAUUCAGCGACAAAAUGCCGAUUGAUUCGAGAAGAGAACCAUGUAAAGAGCUGUGGUUAAUGGUGAGAAUUUUCUUUAAGAAAGGUUGAGCUCUACUAAAAAUCAUGGGA